AGUUUGAUCUCGGACUGGUGUGCUAGCAAUGAGGGAGACUCCGUGGGCAUACAACCUUCUGAGCCAGAACCUGGAUGUUGACGGGGCCACCUCUGAUCUUGUGAGGAACUAGUCGGCGAGCAAUUGCUGAAGCUGCAAAAGGCUGAGAGAAGAGGCCUUAGCACCUUCAGCUUGCCAGCACCUUCAGCUUGGAUUCCCAGUGUUCAGAACUGCAAGAAAUAAAUUUCUGUUCUU
Molecule: long non-coding RNA, 234 nt
Filed under: Homo sapiens (human)
Lineage: Eukaryota; Metazoa; Chordata; Mammalia; Primates; Hominidae
Description: HSALNT0312143
Source: RNAcentral